ACAUAACGGGCUUACACCUUGAUUGAACCAGUAAAUUUUUUAUCCAAAUCUCUUCAGCCUCGCCGCCCCACAUUCCUCUGUCCACCAUUCUAACGCCUCGCCUCCACCUUCACAACAUUUAACAAUUAUGUCCUUCAAUCAUUUUGUUCUAACUACGUGAUAAUUAAGUAUCCCCUCAUGUGUUGUUCCAAGUCUUUGAUCUUUAAAAUAGAGAUGCAGACCUCUACAUAUCUCAUCGCCUCAUCUUCUUCAUUGCUCUCUUUAGCUUUCAAACACAAGCUCCAACAAUGGCGAAUCCCCAAAUUUGAAAUCUGGUCGUUCUCGAGAGGCAGUUGUAGCACAUUUGCUUCGUGCCUCUUACACACCUCACAGUCAUCAUAUUUAUCACCCACCGCAGGUUGUGUGGCAUUGGAAGCAGGAAGUAUUGAUGUGUCAAGGAAAUUGAAUCUGUGAAGAGCUUAACGCAUACUUUCUCAAUUCUCCUAUGUAGGUACAUCGCCUAACUUAUCCACUCUACUAUAUUUUAACUCCUAAAUCUUUGACUCUUCACGUUCCUAACGCCAUCUCAACCCAAACUGCUGAAUGGUUCUUAUGUAUGGCUGCUACUACCUAUAAAAUAUGUAUCUUUUUUUUUUGCGUAGAUAAAAGUAUGUAUGUUUUAGACUGAGUUUUUAUGAGUUGUUGAUGUGACUGUGAGGUUUCUACUGUGAGGUUUCUUCUUGAGAUUGCGCUGUAUCUUUACUUUUUCCAAACUGUUUGUUCUUCAUUUCGGGGUUAAAAGUCAGAAACAACACCCGCAAGAUUCUCCAUUUCCAAUAGGACUGAACUCGCCAGAACGAAAGCAAAUAAAUAGAAGUUGGUUUUCAAAACACAUGCAACCAAUUGAAGGGAUGGCAGGACAAAGUAUUGGCAUAGAGAAACCAAAUGAGUGAGGUUGACUCACUCUGCAACUAACUUUUGGGUCAGAGAAAAAGCUGCAAUGAUCGAUGAUUUAACAAAAGGGCUAUAUGCCCACAAUCUAUGGAGAUUCUUCAUCAAAUACAUCAAAUUUAUUUAAGUGGCGAUGUACCAAAUUGGAAUACAGGUUCAAUAUAAGAGCUGGAAGAAGCUAGCAUAGCAGCAUCCACGAGUGAAAGGACAGUUCGGACCUUCUUGGAAGAUUGCGAUUUGGGAGCCAAAAGACUCAUUUUGUUGGUGGUAAGAGCUCCUGGUAUGAGUCUGUUAACCGAGCUCUGUGGCAAAAGGUGUAUCCGCUGCGGAAUGGUCUGGCUCUGCAUCCAAAUGCGGUUACUAAAGCUAGAAAACGCAUGCAAACUUUUCUUCAGAAGUUGAGAAACACUUGAAAGGAACGCAAGAUAAUCAUUUGCAGACAGUUUAGACCGUCGGAAGUUGCAGUGAAACUGACUGCAUAAGAAGACGGGAUGGAGGGUUGAAAUUUUCAAAAUUGAAGAUCUCACGGGCGGACACAGCAUAGAAGAAGGGCACCGUAUGAACCGCGUAAUGAGUAUCCCCUACAACCUGAUCACAAGACCACGCCACUUUGUGUUAGUUAUCUUUCGUUUGUUUGGUCUUUUCAUCCUCUUACCCGUAUAAACAUCAGAAGAACAAGUUUGUAUAUACAUAAAUUCAUUACCCAUGACACACUACACAAGAUAUAUAGUUUGACUUUACUUUUGUUCAUACGAAAUACAAUUUCUGUGUCAUUUUUGGAGAUGUGAUGUUUUAAUCUUAUGCUUAGAUUUUUUUUUA
This is a long non-coding RNA of Brassica napus (rape), 1749 nucleotides long. RefSeq lists it as uncharacterized. The record is from RefSeq and is a predicted model, not a curated record. The transcript is spliced from 3 exons. Lineage: Eukaryota; Viridiplantae; Streptophyta; Magnoliopsida; Brassicales; Brassicaceae.